AUAUCAAUAAGCGGAGGAAAAGAAACCCAACAGGGAUUGCCCCAGUAACGGCGAGUGAAGCGGCAACAGCUCAAAUUUGAAAUCUGGCUCUCAGGGCCCGAGUUGUAAUUUGUAGAGGAUGCUUUUGGCGAGGUGCCUUCCGAGUUCCCUGGAACGGGACGCCACAGAGGGUGAGAGCCCCGUAUGGUCGGACACCGAGCCUCUGUAAAGCUCCUUCGACGAGUCGAGUAGUUUGGGAAUGCUGCUCAAAAUGGGAGGUAUAUGUCUUCUAAAGCUAAAUAUUGGCCAGAGACCGAUAGCGCACAAGUAGAGUGAUCGAAAGAUGAAAAGCACUUUGAAAAGAGGGUUAAAAAGUACGUGAAAUUGUUGAAAGGGAAGCGCCUAUGACCAGACUUGCGCCCGGUGAAUCACCCAGCGUUCUCGCUGGUGCACUUUGCCGGGCACAGGCCAGCAUCAGUUCAGCGCGGGGGAGAAAGGCUUCGGGAAUGUGGCUCCCUCGGGAGUGUUAUAGCCCGCUGCGUAAUGCCCUGCGCCGGACUGAGGUACGCGCAUUGCAAGGAUGCUGGCGUAAUGGUCAUCAGCGACCCGUCUUGAAACACGGACCAAGGAGUCGUCUUCGUAUGCGAGUGUUCGGGUGUCAAACCCCUACGCGUAAUGAAAGUGAACGUAGGUGAGAGCUUCGGCGCAUCACCGACCGAUCCUGAUGUUCUCGGAUGGAUUUGAGUAAGAGCAUACGGGGCCGGACCCGAAAGAAGGUGAACUAUGCCUGUAUAGGGUGAAGCCAGAGGAAACUCUGGUGGAGGCUCGCAGCGGUUCUGACGUGCGAAUCGAUCGUCAA
This 838-nucleotide ribosomal RNA is filed under the name Beauveria bassiana. RNAcentral's name for it is "partial large subunit ribosomal RNA". It matches the Rfam family "Eukaryotic large subunit ribosomal RNA", at positions 40 to 908 of the family's 3401-position model. Lineage: Eukaryota; Fungi; Ascomycota; Sordariomycetes; Hypocreales; Cordycipitaceae. The record is from RNAcentral.